Molecule: ribosomal RNA, 658 nt
Filed under: uncultured bacterium
Lineage: Bacteria
Description: bacterial SSU rRNA
Rfam family: Bacterial small subunit ribosomal RNA
Source: RNAcentral
CUUAGUAACGCAGCUAACGCGUGAAGUGACCGCCUGGGAGUACCGUCGCAAGAUUAAAACUCAAAGGAAUUGACGGGGACCCGCACAAGCGGUGGAUGAUGUGGAUUAAUUCGAUGCAACGCGAAAAACCUUACCUACCCUUGACAUGUCUAGAAUCCCUGAGAGAUCGGGGAGUGCUCGCAAGAGAACUGGAACACAGGUGCUGCAUGGCUGUCGUCAGCUCGUGUCGUGAGAUGUUGGGUUAAGUCCCGCAACGAGCGCAACCCUUGUCAUUAGUUGCUACGAAAGGGCACUCUAAUGAGACUGCCGGUGACAAACCGGAGGAAGGUGGGGAUGACGUCAAGUCCUCAUGGCCCUUAUGGGUAGGGCUUCACACGUCAUACAAUGGUCGGGACAGAGGGUCGCCAACCCGCGAGGGGGAGCCAAUCCCAGAAACCCGAUCGUAGUCCGGAUCGUAGUCUGCAACUCGACUACGUGAAGUCGGAAUCGCUAGUAAUCGCGGAUCAGAAUGUCGCGGUGAAUACGUUCCCGGGUCUUGUACACACCGCCCGUCACACCAUGGGAGUGGGUUUCACCAGAAGUAGUUAGCCUAACCGCAAGGGGGGCGAUUACCACGGUGGGGUUCAUGACUGGGGUGAAGUCGUAACAAGGUAGCCGU